CCUACGGGUGGCUGCAGUGAGGAAUAUUGGUCAAUGGCCGAGAGGCUGAACCAGCCAAGUCGCGUGAGGGAAGACGGCCCUACGGGUUGUAAACCUCUUUUGUCGGGGAGCAAAACGAGUCACGUGUGACGCAUUGAGAGUACCCUAAGAAAAAGCAUCGGCUAACUCCGUGCCAGCAGCCGCGGUAAUACGGAGGAUGCGAGCGUUAUCCGGAUUUAUUGGGUUUAAAGGGUGCGCAGGCGGAGGUGCAAGUCAGUGGUAAAAUUUCGGGGCUUAACCUCGUACUGCCGUUGAUACUGCAGACCUAGAGAGCGCGCGAAGUAUGCGGAAUGCGUGGAGUAGCGGUGAAAUGCAUAGAUAUCACGUAGAACUCCGAUUGCGAAGGCAGCAUACCGGCGUGCAACUGACGCUGAUGCACGAGAGCGUGGGUAUCGAACAGGAUUAGAUACCCUUGUAGUC
RNAcentral lists this ribosomal RNA (459 nucleotides) under uncultured bacterium. RNAcentral describes it as "partial 16S ribosomal RNA". It matches the Rfam family "Bacterial small subunit ribosomal RNA", at positions 338 to 795 of the family's 1533-position model. The record is from RNAcentral.